GUUUUAAUUGGAAUUUAGUUUAGGAUUCAAGUUUUGGUCAGGGUUUGGUUUAGGUUUAAGAUUUGAUUUAGGAUUUAGAUUUUGGUUAGGAUUUAAUUUAGGAUUUAGGAUUUGGUUUAGGAUUUGGUUAGGAUUUGAUUUAGGAUUAUGAUUUGGUUAGGAUUUGAUUUAAGAUUUGGAUUUUGGUUAGGGUUUGGAGUUUGGUUAGGAUUUGGUUUAAGAUUUAGAAUUUGAUUUAGGAUUUGUUUGGAGUUUGGUUUAGGAUUUGUUUAGAAUUUGGUUUAUGGUUUAGGAUUUAUUUAGGAUUUGUUUAGAAUUUGGUUUAUGGUUUAGGAUUUAUUUAGGGUUUGGUUUAGGAUUUAAGAUUUGAUUAGGAUUUGAUUAGGAUUUUGUUAGGAUUUGAUUUAGGAUUUAGGAUUUUAUUUGGGUUUAUUUAGGAUUUAAGAUUUAAUUAAUUUUGGCCUAAAGUUUGAAUAAAAUCUAAUAGGAUUUUAACUAGGAUUAAAUUAAGAUUGAAUUGAGAUGUAUUUGAGAGAUAUUUGAGAUCAUUCUAAUAUUUCUUUAAGAUUUUUUAUUGUUUCUUUGAAAUUUCUUUGAGGUUUCUUUG
Molecule: long non-coding RNA, 607 nt
Filed under: Physcomitrium patens
Lineage: Eukaryota; Viridiplantae; Streptophyta; Bryopsida; Funariales; Funariaceae
Description: long non-coding RNA (PPAT_LNC002650)
Source: RNAcentral